GUGAACGCUGGCGGUAGGCCUAACACAUGCAAGUCGAACGGCAGCACAGGAGAGCUUGCUCUCUGGGUGGCGAGUGGCGGACGGGUGAGGAAUACAUCGGAAUCUGCCCAGUCGUGGGGGAUAACGUAGGGAAACUUACGCUAAUACCGCAUACGACCUUCGGGUGAAAGAGGGGGAUCGCAAGACCUCUCGCGAUUGGAUGAGCCGAUUUCGGAUUAGCUAGUUGGCGGGGUAAUGGCCACCAAGGCGACGAUCCGUAGCUGGUCUGAGAGGAUGAUCAGCCACACUGGAACUGAGACACGGUCCAGACUCCUACGGGAGGCAGCAGUGGGGAAUAUUGGACAAAGGGCGCAAGCCUGAUCCAGCCAUACCGCGUGGGUGAAGAAGGCCUUCGGGUUGUAAAGCCCUUUUGUUGGGAAAGAAAUCUUUCAGGCUAAUACCCUGGGAGGAUGACGGUACCCAAAGAAUAAGCACCGGCUAACUUCGUG
RNAcentral lists this ribosomal RNA (488 nucleotides) under uncultured bacterium. Its description in RNAcentral is "partial 16S ribosomal RNA". It matches the Rfam family "Bacterial small subunit ribosomal RNA", at positions 29 to 507 of the family's 1533-position model. The record is from RNAcentral.